Molecule: non-coding RNA, 92 nt
Filed under: Erythrolobus madagascarensis
Lineage: Eukaryota; Rhodophyta; Bangiophyceae; Porphyridiales; Porphyridiaceae
Source: RNAcentral
ACUUAUAGCCUGAGAAAAGGACAGAAAAAGGAAAAAAGGAAAAAAAGGAAAAAAAGAGCCGAAAAAGAAACAGUGCAUUGCUCUGGUGUUUC